CGCGGCCUAUCAGCUUGUUGGUGAGGUAAAGGCUCACCAAGGCAUCGACGGGUAGCUGGUCUGAGAGGACGAUCAGCCACACUGGGACUGAGACACGGCCCAGACUCCUACGGGAGGCAGCAGUAGGGAAUCUUGCGCAAUGGGCGAAAACCUGACGCAGCAACGCCGCGUGGGGGAAGAAGGCUCUAGGGUCGUAACCCCUUUCAGCAGGGACGAAAAUGACGGUACCUGCAGAAGAAGCUCCGGCCAACUACGUGCCAGCAGCCGCGGUAAUACGUAGGGAGCGAGCGUUGUCCGGAAUUAUUGGGCGUAAAGAGCUCGUAGGCGGUUCAGUAAGUCGGGUGUGAAAACUCAAGGCUCAACCUUGAGACGCCACUCGAUACUGCUGUGACUUGAGUCCGGUAGAGGAGUGUGGAAUUCCUGGUGUAGCGGUGAAAUGCGCAGAUAUCAGGAGGAACACCAGCGGCGAAGGCGGCACUCUGGGCCGGUACUGACGCUGAGGAGCGAAAGCAUGGGGAGCAAACAGGAUUAGAUACCCUGGUAGUCCAUGCCGUAAACGUUGGGCACUAGGUAUGGGAUCAUAUCAACGGAUUCCGUGCCGUAGCUAACGCAUUAAGUGCCCCGCCUGGGGAGUACGG
RNAcentral lists this ribosomal RNA (638 nucleotides) under uncultured Actinomycetes bacterium. Its description in RNAcentral is "bacterial SSU rRNA". It matches the Rfam family "Bacterial small subunit ribosomal RNA", at positions 232 to 885 of the family's 1533-position model. The record is from RNAcentral. Lineage: Bacteria; Bacillati; Actinomycetota; Actinomycetes.